This 492-nucleotide ribosomal RNA is filed under the name uncultured bacterium. Its description in RNAcentral is "partial 16S ribosomal RNA". It matches the Rfam family "Bacterial small subunit ribosomal RNA", at positions 27 to 507 of the family's 1533-position model. The record is from RNAcentral.
GAGUGAACGCUGGCGGUAGGCCUAACACAUGCAAGUCGAACGGCAGCACAGUAAGAGCUUGCUCUUACGGGUGGCGAGUGGCGGACGGGUGAGGAAUACAUCGGAAUCUACUUUUUCGUGGGGGAUAACGUAGGGAAACUUACGCUAAUACCGCAUACGACCUACGGGUGAAAGCAGGGGAUCUUCGGACCUUGCGCGAUUGAAUGAGCCGAUGUCGGAUUAGCUAGGUGGCGGGGUAAAGGCCCACCAAGGCGACGAUCCGUAGCUGGUCUGAGAGGAUGAUCAGCCACACUGGAACUGAGACGCGGUCCAGACUCCUACGGGAGGCAGCAGUGGGGAAUAUUGGACAAUGGGCGCAAGCCUGAUCCAGCCAUAACGCGUGGGUGAAGCAUGCCUUCGGGUUGUAAAGCCCUUUGUUGGGAAAGAAAAGCAGCAGGUUAAUACCCCGCUGUUCUGACGGUACCCAAAGAAUAAGCACCGGCUAACUUCGUG